Molecule: ribosomal RNA, 895 nt
Filed under: uncultured bacterium
Lineage: Bacteria
Description: bacterial SSU rRNA
Rfam family: Bacterial small subunit ribosomal RNA
Source: RNAcentral
GUGUCAGCAGCCGCGCGGUAAUACGAAGGGACCUAGCGUAGUUCGGAAUUACUGGGCUUAAAGAGUUCGUAGGUGGUUGAAAAAGUUAGUGGUGAAAUCCCAGAGCUUAACUCUGGAACUGCCAUUAAAACUUUUCAGCUAGAGUAUGAUAGAGGAAAGCAGAAUUUCUAGUGUAGAGGUGAAAUUCGUAGAUAUUAGAAAGAAUACCAAUUGCGAAGGCAGCUUUCUGGAUCAUUACUGACACUGAGGAACGAAAGCAUGGGUAGCGAAGAGGAUUAGAUACCCUCGUAGUCCAUGCCGUAAACGAUGUGUGUUAGACGUUGGAAAUUUAUUUUCAGUGUCGCAGCGAAAGCGAUAAACACACCGCCUGGGGAGUACGACCGCAAGGUUAAAACUCAAAUGAAUUGACGGGGACCCGCACAAGUAGUGGAGCAUGUGGUUUAAUUCGAAGAUACGCGCAGAACCUUACCAACACUUGACAUGUUCGUCGCGACUCUAAGAGAUUAGAGUUUUCGGUUCGGCCGGACGAAACACAGGUGCUGCAUGGCUGUCGUCAGCUCGUGUCGUGAGAUGUUGGGUUAAGUCCCGCAACGAGCGCAACCCUCACUUUUAGUUGCCAUCAUUAAGUUGGGCACUCUGAAAGAACUGCCAGUGAUAAGCUGGAGGAAGGUGGGGAUGACGUCAAGUCCUCAUGGCCCUUACGUGUUGGGCUACACACGUGCUACAAUGGUAUCUACAACAGGAAGCAAGACUGCGAAGUCAAGCAAAUCCUUAAAAGAUACCUCAGUUCGGAUUGCACUCUGCAACUCGAGUGCAUGAAGCUGGAAUUACUAGUAAUCGUGGAUCAGCGUGCCACGGUGAAUGCGUUCCCGGGUCUUGCACACACCGCCCGUCA